This 1413-nucleotide ribosomal RNA is filed under the name human gut metagenome. RNAcentral describes it as "bacterial SSU rRNA". It matches the Rfam family "Bacterial small subunit ribosomal RNA". The record is from RNAcentral.
AGAGUUUGAUCCUGGCUCAGGACGAACGCUGGCGGCGUGCCUAAUACAUGCAAGUCGAGCGAAUGAUGAAAGAAGCUUGCUUCUUUCUGAUUUAGCGGCGGACGGGUGAGUAACACGUGGGCAACCUGCCCUUUAGUUUGGGAUAACUUCGGGAAACCGGAGCUAAUACCGAAUAAUACUCUUUCCUUCAUGGGAGAAAGUUGAAAGACGGUUUCGGCUGUCGCUAAAGGAUGGGCCCGCGGUGCAUUAGCUAGUUGGUGAGGUAACGGCUCACCAAGGCAACGAUGCAUAGCCGACCUGAGAGGGUGAUCGGCCACACUGGGACUGAGACACGGCCCAAACUCCUACGGGAGGCUGCAGUGGGGAAUCUUCCGCAAUGGACGAAAGUCUGACGGAGCAACGCCGCGUGAGUGAUGACGGCCUUCGGGUUGUAAAGCUCUGUUAAUCGGGACGAAAGGCCUUCUUCGAAUAGUGAGAAGGAUUGACGGUACCGGAAUAGAAAGCCACGGCUAACUACGUGCCAGCAGCCGCGGUAAUACGGAGGGUGCAAGCGUUAAUCGGAAUUACUGGGCGUAAAGCGCACGCAGGCGGUCUGUCAAGUCGGAUGUGAAAUCCCCGGGCUCAACCUGGGAACUGCAUUCGAAACUGGCAGGCUAGAGUCUUGUAGAGGGGGGUAGAAUUCCAGGUGUAGCGGUGAAAUGCGUAGAGAUCUGGAGGAACACCAGUGGCGAAGGCGACGAUCUGGCCUGUAACUGACGCUCAGUCCCGAAAGCGUGGGGAGCAAAUAGGAUUAGAUACCCUAGUAGUCCACGCCGUAAACGAUGAGUACUAAGUGUUGGAGGGUUUCCGCCCUUCAGUGCUGCAGCAAACGCAUUAAGCACUCCGCCUGGGGAGUACGGCCGCAAGGCUAAAACUCAAAGAAAUUGACGGGGGCCCGCACAAGCGGUGGAGCAUGUGGUUUAAUUCGAAGCAACGCGAAGAACCUUACCAGGUCUUGACAUCCUUUGAUCACCUGAGAAGAUACAGUUUUCCCUUCGGGGACAACGGUGACAGGUGGUGCAUGGUUGUCGUCAGCUCGUGUCGUGAGAUGUUGGGUUAAGUCCCGCAACGAGCGCAACCCUUGUUCUUAGUUGCCAUCAUUUAGUUGGGCACUCUAAGGAGACUGCCGGUGAUAAACCGGAGGAAGGUGGGGAUGACGUCAAAUCAUCAUGCCCCUUAUGACCUGGGCUACACACGUGCUACAAUGGACGAUACAAACGGUUGCCAACCCGCGAGGGGGAGCUAAUCCGAUAAAAUCGUUCUCAGUUCGGAUUGUAGGCUGCAACUCGCCUACAUGAAGCCGGAAUCGCUAGUAAUCGCGGAUCAGCAUGCCGCGGUGAAUACGUUCCCGGGCCUUGCACUCACCGCCCGUCA